This is a long non-coding RNA of Anneissia japonica, 1521 nucleotides long. RefSeq lists it as uncharacterized. The transcript has 3 exons. Lineage: Eukaryota; Metazoa; Echinodermata; Crinoidea; Comatulida; Comatulidae. The record is from RefSeq and is a predicted model, not a curated record.
UAGAAACUGUGUUAGAAGUGAGUCGAGUACAAGGACAAGUUUCUCGAAAAUGUAUGGCAAAGCAAUCAACGAAACACUACCGGAAAGGCCCUGUCCGAUGUCUUCAAAAUAGACAUUGGGAGAAUUAUUAGAGAGCGAAAAACAGGACUGACCUUGGCAACAUAUUUGUCGGACUGCUAGAAAUCAUUGGAGACAAUGAAAAUGUACAUUUUGAAGAUCGCUGUUCUGUUCGCAUUUGCCGUUGACCCGGUUCCCGCUCCGUACUGCCGAGCUUUUCCUCAUUGGCAGGUUUGCUUUGCUGCGAAUCAAUUGGCAGCCGACUACAACAUCAAGAGAGUGAGAUACACGAUCAACGUCAACGAAGUUAAUGAACCUGGAAACAAAUUCGUUUGUUGUUUCGCCAUCUGUUGCUACGACGACUCAGGAUGUGGUAUUCACUGGCCGUUCUUUAACCCUGUCUGUGGGGUAUCGUCGCUAAACAUAGGUUAUUGCAAUGCAUGGGAACUCGAUUAUAAGCCUGGAAUAAUGUGCUUCAGUAACUGGAACAAUCCGCCAACUCUGUCUUGGGAUUACACUGUAGAUUAUUAGUACUAGGAAACUGUUAGAAAAUGACUUGAUUUUCGACUAUGAUAAGUUUUCAAAAAUGACAGGUUGAAAUUACAACACAAUUAUCAUAUGUCUUUGCCAGAGUUCCUUGGCCGAGCAGUGUAUAAUGACUGGACAAUUCAUGGACAAGAUGUACCGGUAUCCGUCGUAUGCUAAGCAGACAAUAAUUAUAAUAGCAGUUGGCCUUGCUUAAAAAAUGACGUAUCUCUAACUAGAACCCCCAUUGUGUAUCAAAUUCUCUUAUGUGUUCGUGAUACGAAAAGUAUAUACAAUCUAACAUUAUCUUUAUUUCAUUACAGAAGAUGACGUGUGCGUUUGCUAUAGGAGACAAUAGGCACAAUGAAAAAUAUGUAAAGUUCUGUAAUAUUGAAACGAUUAGGCAAGCCUAUAGCCUAUGUGUACAAUAACAUAAUAAUAAUAAUAAUAAUAAUAUGAUUAACAAAUGAACAGACAGUUUUUAAUCAUAACAAAGGCCUAAUCUUUAUAAUCAAAUUGAUGGUUGAUUUAAAACACUGCAGUAUGUUGUAAAAUUGAUGAUAUUCCGUAAGUGUGAUGACGUAUCGGGUGACGUAACCAUGCGAUUUAAGAGUCAUAUGCGAUGGAAGAGAGCCAUGAAGAGAGUUCAACAGAAUCGUGGCUCUGGGAAAAAAACUUCAUUAAAAUUGUUUUGAAUGUAGGCCUAAGACAAUAUUCCGGUGGGGUUUUGCGUCCGGAGAUCUUUGUAAAGUGAGAUAAUGAAAGACUACUAGAAGCCAGUGAUUCAACCAAAUUAUUUUGAUAGUGGUAAGGGUCCUUUAUAAUCCUGAACUUUAAAAAAAUAUAUAAUAUAAAGCACGAUUUAAGUACGUCUAACAGCAUUUUAAUCAUAUUAUGUUGUAGGCAUAUGGUCAAUAAAGUAAGCAUGCAUGUAUGUGA